RNAcentral lists this ribosomal RNA (478 nucleotides) under uncultured bacterium. Its description in RNAcentral is "partial 16S ribosomal RNA". It matches the Rfam family "Bacterial small subunit ribosomal RNA", at positions 28 to 523 of the family's 1533-position model. The record is from RNAcentral.
GACGAACGCUGGCGGCGUGCUUAACACAUGCAAGUCGAACGGUAAGGCCCUUCGGGGUACACGAGUGGCGAACGGGUGAGUAACACGUGGGUGAUCUGCCCUGCACUUCGGGAUAAGCCUGGGAAACUGGGUCUAAUACCGGAUAGGACUCCUGGCUUCAUGGUUGGGGGUGGAAAGCUUUUGCGGUGUGGGAUGGGCCCGCGGCCUAUCAGCUUGUUGGUGGGGUAAUGGCCUACCAAGGCGACGACGGGUAGCCGGCCUGAGAGGGUGACCGGUCACACUGGGACUGAGAUACUGCCCAGACUCCUACGGGAGGCAGCAGUGGGGAAUAUUGCACAAUGGGCGCAAGCCUGAUGCAGCGACGCCGCGUGAGGGAUGACGGCCUUCGGGUUGUAAGCCUCUUUCAGCUAUGACGAAGCGCAAGUGACGGUAGUAGCAGAAGAAGGACCGGCCAACUACGUGCCAGCAGCCGCAGUAA